RNAcentral lists this ribosomal RNA (438 nucleotides) under Bifidobacterium animalis. RNAcentral describes it as "bacterial SSU rRNA". It matches the Rfam family "Bacterial small subunit ribosomal RNA", at positions 65 to 500 of the family's 1533-position model. The record is from RNAcentral. Lineage: Bacteria; Bacillati; Actinomycetota; Actinomycetes; Bifidobacteriales; Bifidobacteriaceae.
AACGGGAUAAAUGGCAGCUUGCUGUUGGGGUGAGAGUGGUGAACGGGUGAGUAAUGCGUGACCAACCUGCCCUGUGCACCGGAAUAGCUCCUGGAAACGGGUGGUAAUACCGGAUGCUCCGCUCCAUCGCAUGGUGGGGUGGGAAAUGCUUUUGCGGCAUGGGAUGGGGUCGCGUCCUAUCAGCUUGUUGGCGGGGUGAUGGCCCACCAAGGCGUUGACGGGUAGCCGGCCUGAGAGGGUGACCGGCCACAUUGGGACUGAGAUACGGCCCAGACUCCUACGGGAGGCAGCAGUGGGGAAUAUUGCACAAUGGGCGCAAGCCUGAUGCAGCGACGCCGCGUGCGGGAUGGAGGCCUUCGGGUUGUAAACCGCUUUUGUUCAAGGGCAAGGCACGGUUUCGGCCGUGUUGAGUGGAUUGUUCGAAUAAGCACCGGCUAC